This 832-nucleotide ribosomal RNA is filed under the name Lacticaseibacillus casei. RNAcentral's name for it is "bacterial SSU rRNA". It matches the Rfam family "Bacterial small subunit ribosomal RNA", at positions 44 to 833 of the family's 1533-position model. The record is from RNAcentral. Lineage: Bacteria; Bacillati; Bacillota; Bacilli; Lactobacillales; Lactobacillaceae.
GUGCUAGUACAUGCAGUCGAACGAGCUUCUCGUAUGUAUAGUAUGGGGGCUUGCACCGAAAUUCAACAUGAAACGAGGGGCGGACGGGUGAUUAACACGUGGGUAACCUGCCCUUAACUGGGGGAUAACAUUUGGAAACAGAUGCUAAUACCGCAAAGAUCCUGGAACCGCAGGGUUCUUGGCUGAAAAAUGGUUCAAGCUAUCGCUUUUGGAUGGACCCGCGGCGUAUUACCUAGUUGGGGAGGUAAUGGCUCACCAGGGCGAGGAUACGUACCCAAACUGAAAGGUUGACCGGCCACUUUGGGACGGAAACACGGCCCAAACUCCUACGGAAGGCACCAUUAGGGAACCUUCCACAAGGGACGCAAGUCUGAGGGAGCAACGCCCCGGGAGUGAAAAAGGCUUUCGGUCCGUAAAACUCUGUUGUUGGAGAAAAAUGGUCGGCAGAGUAACUGUUGUCGGCGUGACGGUAUCCAACCAGAAAGCCACGGCUAACUACUUGCCAGCAGCCGCGGUAAUACGUAGGUGGCAAGCGUUAUCCGGAUUUAUUGGGCGUAAAGCGAGCGCAGGCGGUUUUUUAAGUCUGAUGUGAAACCCUUCGGCUUAACCGAGGAAGCGCAUCGAAAACUGGAAAACUUGAGUGCAAAAAAGGACAGUGAAACUCCAUGUGUACCGUUGAAAUGCGUAAAUAUAUGGAAAAAACACCAGUGGCGAAGGCGGCUGUCUGUUCUGUAACUGACCCUGAAGGCUCGAAAGCAUGGUGUAGCAAACAAGAUUAAGAUACCCUGUUAGUCCAUGGCGUAAACAAUGAUUGCUAGCGUGUUGAAGGGUU